Long non-coding RNA from Oncorhynchus gorbuscha (pink salmon), 916 nucleotides. RefSeq lists it as uncharacterized. The transcript is spliced from 3 exons. Lineage: Eukaryota; Metazoa; Chordata; Actinopteri; Salmoniformes; Salmonidae. The record is from RefSeq and is a predicted model, not a curated record.
CGAAUAACUGAUCUGCCACCUUUUUAAACGGGCUGGGGGGGGGGGGGGGUUCUACGUGCGCGUCAUUUUAAAGGGUGAGGGAAGAGAGAGAAGGUUGACAUUUUGUUCCAGGCAGGAGGAUGACAUUUUGUUCCAGGCAGGAUGCCAAUACAGUAAAACAAGCCACCUUGGAAUAUGAGGUGCAAUUUCAUUUGAUCUUCUCUGAUCAAGCCAUAUCUUGGAAGAGGACAUUAAUAUUCACUCUGUGAAAAAGAUGUUUAUUUGGGCAUGUCUCUGUUGAAGCACCAUUAUGGUUCUAUAUAGAAGCCACAAAGAAGCCUUUUAGAAGCCUUUUUAUCCAGAGACGGUUCAAAAGAACCGUUUAGAAGCCUUAUUAUCCAGAGAAGGUUCCAAAGAACCGUUUAGAAGCCUUUUUAUCCAGAGAAGGUUCCAAAAAAGCCUUUAGAAGCAUUUUUAUCCAGAGAAGGUUCCAAAGAACCGUUUAGAAGCCUUUUUAUCCAGAGAAGGUUCCAAAGAACCGUUUAGAAGCCUUUUUAUCCAGAGAAGGUUCCAAGGAACCAAAAGCCUUUAGAAGCCCUCUUGGAUGAAAAGGGUUACAUGUACCUGUACCUGGAGAAUCUAUCCUGAGUGCCAGGCUGAUAGCACUCUUUUGCCAACUCCUACGGUGUGACACAACAGGCAACAGAGCACAAACAACCUGGCACCCAGGCUAGGAGAAUCAAGAAUCAAGAGUCAAGAUGAAGAACCUUAACAGAGAUGAACAUUUGUUGCCAUGGGAACUCUGAAGAAUUAUCCCAGAUCCUUUUAAGAAUCACAUUGGUAAUAACCUAGUGCUGAACAUGGCUGAAUACAAUGACCUCAGAUUCGCCUUUAUGUCCAGUUUUCAUAAUAAUCAGUUUAAUUUCAAAUAGAUGUU